Dermacentor andersoni is the source of this 4657-nucleotide non-coding RNA. NCBI's taxonomy places the organism in Eukaryota, Metazoa, Arthropoda, Arachnida, Ixodida, Ixodidae. The record is from RefSeq and is a predicted model, not a curated record.
UGCACACUAGAGGAGAAACGUGCGCGGCGCUCCGCCGGCGGCAAAGCCCAGCUGGGGCAGAGCGGCCGCAACAUCUGGCUGGCCAGCUGCUGCGGCAGUCAUGAGGCAGCAUGAAAUUGUUACCUCCUCUCGUUUAGUCUGCGUGUAGGGGCGCGAUGUAGCGUGCUUUUCCUUCGUCUGCUGAAAGAAUGGCGCUGUGUUUGCGUUUUUCCUUCUUGACGAGAGUUAUGUCUUUUGAAGAUGACGACAUAGCUGCCAUUAAUCAUAAUCAUCUUCGUGUGCUCCAUUCUGUUGCGGCGUCGCCGCAUUCAAAGGACAAGGAGAAUGAGGUACGGGCUGUCGCGCCCACGACCUUGUUUCAAGUUUCCAAGGAGCCGUUCAUCUAAAAGUUAACAAGUUUCUUCGAUGUCAACGUAAUGCUCAUUAACUUAUGAGUUCAAGACACAAAAUUCACCACAAUCUGGUGAUGCAACCCGAUUUCAAGCUUUCCUCGAAAACUUAUUACUUGCUGUUGUGCCAUACUACGAGCACAACGUGGCGACCACGAGGCGACGGGUGCUGCCCUACUACAUGCACCACGUGGCCACCACGCGGCGACGAGAGCUCCCACUUCUCCGCGACGAAUCGGGAAUUCGACAUGGGAGGCGACUUCAAGGAGCACCCAGCCAUCUCCGUGGCGCCCUGACAUCUCCGCGACGAAUCAGGAAUUCGACGCGGGUGAGGUAUUCAGCCUGCCCCACCUGGCUCCUGCCGACGAGAACUCGCCCGAACCGGUUCCUCCCGACGAGGCGUCACCGAAGGGAUUUAAGGAAGAACCGGCCCAUUGUGAGGAGAGAGAGUCGCUUGCAGCCGCCCAGUCGGUCUGAUGUGCUCCUAAUGCUACUUUUUAAACCAAUUAACCAAUUAAUCAAUUUAUUAUUAUUACACAUUUAUUAUGUGUAAUAAUAACACUAUCAUCGCUUGUACGCUAUCAUCCAGUAUCUGUAAAUAUUGUAUAAAGUUUUUCAUUUCUUCUUCAUCUACGGAACGAGUCCGUCUUUCGUCCUCCAUCCCGAAGUCACAACAUUACGUAACAGAUGAAAAAAAACCACCUUGCAUUCAACCUUGCGAAACUGGAUGUACAGUGAAGCUGUUGCCGACGUUACAGAAGUACAACCCACGUUAGACAGGCACCACCACAACCAACGACAUACGUCACGCGCUAACGCACGUGUGCUGGGAGUGCAGCAUACAUCUUCAUUCUUCUAGACGCUCCGCCAAGCGCCAGUGCGUUAUUCAACAAAUUUAAUUUCUCAAAGAAAAUUGUGCGAUAAAAUUUGUGAAGCACGAAUUACACACAAGCUGGAGGCAUGAUAGCUUCGGGUUCUAAUUCGAAUACGCGAGAAGACCUAAUUAUGUUACGCGGAAACAUGCCGUUUGAGGUCUGUCUGCGUGGCCGCGGCCACCAGGUGGUGGUACUGUUUUAGAUGAGCACAGCACGAGCCCACGAAAAAUCCCCACCAACUACACGCAAACAGCUUAGCUGUAAAAUCAAUUUUGUGUAGGGAGGAGGCGUCAAUAUUAACGUACUUUUUUCUUCCCAGUUACGACGGAAUUUCCAGUGUUUAAUCACAACAUCUGGUUUUCAAGUACACUAGAUACAAGCCACCGUGUUACUGCUGACAGCGCUUCCUUAUUAGAUGUAUUCAUUAUAAACAUUGUUGUUCACUGAUUAGUCGCCAACGUUGUGUAGACACAUAUUAGUGAUGAUUUGGGUAUGAAAUGCACCAGGCGAACCAGAAACGUAGCAAAGCAGUUUUUGUACAGUGUAUUACGAUUAUUAAAAGGAAAAGAGGCGUCCACCCCAUCGUAGCAAUUGCUACGAAAUGAUCCCAUACAUAUUCCUCGAAAGAAAAGCUUCGCUGUUGAAGAAAAUUCUGUCCUGGUAUGGGACUCGAAUCCGGGACCACCACCUUUCGUGGGCAGCCGCUCUACUAUCUGAACUAACAAGGCGGCUAGCCUGGUUAGUGUAUCAAGAUGUUAAACAUUCAAGCCUUUCGCCAUGCUACCGUUCAGGAUUCUUAGGAGUGCUUUUACCGAGCACUAGACAGUGACUCAGUAUAUUAAGCUUUCUUGAAUAUUUUCUAAAUUUUAUAUAACGCACAUCUCUCCUAUAAAAAAAAUUGACGGGGCUAUCUAAUGCACGGGAACCUUAGCUAGUUAUUGGCCUAUUUCUAUUAUUGCUGUCUUUUAUAAAGGUAUUUUAAAAAUAGUGCAGGUCAUAGUGCUGUCAAUUUUUUUUAAUCACCACAACGGGCUUGAUGAUUUUGAAUAAGCUUGAGAAAGCGCCCUUCAGCGGCCUUCCUGGCUGAAAAGAUAUCAUUGUAGAUGCAUUCAGUCGUAAACAUCUGGAAUUAGGCAUAUACAUUGGUUUUUUGCAAGGUUUUUGAAUUAUAUGUUCGUUUCAUUCAUCUCAACAAAUUAGAAAAGUACGGUGUGCGCGGAAGCGCCUUGACUUUGUGAAAUAUUAUCCUUCAAACAGAAAGCACUUCGUAGAUAGCAAUAAUACGACAUCUGUAGGCAAUUAGUCAUUGCUGGUGUGCUGCAAGGAAGCAUUUUAGGGCCACUGCUGCUCUUGGUUUGCAUAGAUGACAUAGCAUGCUGCACAUAUAAUGACACAUUUGUUUAUUACGUUGAUGUCAUGAUAUUUAUAAUGACAGGUAACCUGAAAACCGACAAAGAAAAAAAGGCUAACAAGACAUUGCCUGAUUUAGAAAUCUGGGCCGCGGCAUUGUGUACAUAAAUAGACUCUAAGAAAGCAUAGGUAAUUUUGUACACGCCUAAACGCGAAACGUUGGAAAAGCUGAUGAAGCUGAGAUUCCAACAGUCAGAGAUUUUGGACUCCGUUCAUAUAUUUGGAGUACAUAUGUCGAAGCACCUUACUUGGAAGUUCUAUGUAUACUACCUACAAUUCAAUAGAAUAUGUGCAAUUGUUGCGAUUGCUCUGCUACGAGUUCUCCCUACUAAGGCCAAAAUUACACUAUACAACGUUUUUGUCGUAUCACACAUAUAAUACUGCAGCGUGGUGCUCGGCACAAGUGGUGUGACAAAUGUGCGGGUUACAUUUGCUACAGAGGAGACAUGUGCGUUACAACAAGCUUACCCAACAAAACCGCUUUUUUUGAAAGCAUGAAAUAUUUAGAUUUGUUGUUUUUACACUUAUAGAAUCACAAUGUGUGACACAGCUCUCGUUAAAGCUGUAUAUAUAUUAUAUAAAUCACCGCACAAAAUUACAAGUAAACAUGGGUGUUCGUCAGACGAGGCAAAGAAAUGUGGUUAGUAGCUAAAACUAAAACUUUUUAGGAAGAUCAAUCUUUGUCUAUGACCCUACCUUCGCUACUAAACUCGUGAAAUCGUGAAGCCUUAAUCGUUCUUAACCAAAAAUACUGCAUUAAAAGCUUUUUCCACAUUAGUUACUUGCAGGACUAGAGAGAGAAAGAGAGAGAAAGUUACAUGUAUUAGUAUAAUGUGGGCACCAUCGUGGGCCGAUCAGGCAGUGUAAUCCGCAUUGUGAUUUCCCGUAACUGAUAUAAACCACAUAUCCUAUCUGUUCUUGUUUUAAAUCAGCUGUUCAUGUUUUACCAUAUCGUUUUAAUUACAAAUUUAGUUUGUUUAGUGCAUUUGUCACUUUUCUUCCACAUCACUCAGCACAUUGUAGUGUAGCCCAUAUAUUGUACAAUUCCACCUGUAAGCCUGGUCGUUAUUUUGCUGUAUUGGCAACUUGCCAUUGGCCAAAAUUUCGACAAGCCUUUGAAAUUUUUAGUCCUGUAGUGCUCCUUAUGAAAGGAAAUGCAAAGUAUUUUUAUUUAUUGAUAGACUGGUAUACAUAUUAUCGCGAAGUUCGCGGACAUUUAUCAUUUAUGUUUAAAGAACCAGUGUUUCCUUCAGACAAUCUUUAUUUCUGUAUGGAUUGAGUUCCAUAGUGGGUGAGAUUUUACACACUAUUCAGUGUAGAAUAUAACCACAACAAAAUAAUAUAUACAUCAGCAGUAGUUCUAUUUCUCUCUACAUCGCGGGGUGCUUGCAUAACCUGUGAAAAUCGGUGCCUUCAAGCGAUGAAGCGUUCAUGAUGACUCGUAACAUCCGAGUCACAACUCUGUCAGUACAACCAGCUGCCAGCUGCACGCUGCGUCGAAUGCGUUCAGUCAAAGCGUGGAUUUUAGUUUGCUGCUAAUUGUGCUUUGGAAGGAGAAGCUUUGCGCCGGGGCGCAACCCUCAAUUUUAUUUAUUUAUGGGGUGUUACGCGCAAAAAUCACAAUCCGAUUAUAAGGCACGCUGCAGGGGUGGCCCCACAUUAAUUUUCACCACAUGGAGUCUCUAACUUGCACUCGAAGCACGGCACACGAGCAUUUUUAAAUUCCACCGUCUCAAUACCUAUCCUUAGCUGCACGGUAAAAGCGAAUAGCGCAAACCAGGACGACCACCAAAAGUGAGGGACACACACAGUGUGUCAGUGAUACAUCCUUAUCUCUUUACGCUGCAGAGUGUCAGUUUUUAAGCUCCGAUACCUGUUAAGUUCCUGGCGUAAGUGAUGUGUUCCUUUUGAUUACGUUUGCGCUAGUGUGGCCAUGCUGUAUAUAUGUGCGUUGUGGUGGCAAAAUAAAAGCAGUUAUUAGUA